UGAAGGGUCAUAGUUCAGUGGUAGAGCAUCUGCUUUGUGUGCAGAAGGGCCUAAGAUCAAACCCUGGCCUUUCCA
Molecule: non-coding RNA, 75 nt
Organism: Podarcis lilfordi (Lilford's wall lizard)
Lineage: Eukaryota; Metazoa; Chordata; Lepidosauria; Squamata; Lacertidae
Source: the annotation of a GenBank genome assembly